UGUAAAUAACUGUAAUUUUUCGAGGAAUGAAGCUGGGUUAAUUACCAUUGAUAAUAUACAGCUGUGGGCUGGCUUCAGAGGCAGAGGGUUGGCUGAUGUAGAUAAGGUGCAGGUGUGGCUGGUUCUGUGAAGUGGUUGAGAGUCAGUGAAGAGAGAGCAGCUGAGGAAGAAGCAGGGAGAGGAAGAAGCAAGAGAAGAGAGAGUGGGCCUUGGAUGAGGAGAAGGCAGCAGAGGGACUGGCAUGAAGAGUAUGUUGAUUUUUAGGAGGGGACUCCAAGGUGGUCAUCCAGUCAUUUCUUCAUCCCAAAGCAAUGUCAAAGGAUCUACAUCACUCCUCUCACAUGCUUCUCUUGCAAAUUAUCGAAUCAUAUGUCUUCUCAGACAAGCUACUCUACUACUGCAAUGGCUAUCAGGAAAUAUCUUUCUAGUAUCAAAGCUAAGUCUAACCUCCAAACAAUUUAAGGACAACUAGGAGCUUCCUGAGACAGAUAAUACAACUACAUUGUUGUAUCUUGGGUUUCCAUAGCUGGGGGGGGGCACGCUACAGAGAGGGGCUUCUGUGAGAAGCUCCUAGAAGCUUCCCCUAUGUCCGGUGGAGCCAACGUCAGCCGGCUUCAAGAUGCACCCGCCACUGGCCAAGGCCGAGCCCAGCAGUGACAGUGGUAGCGCCUCUGGGAUGGUGUAUUUAAGAUGGGGGGUGGGGAACCCUGUGCAAGAGCAACUGCAGCCAGAGAGAGGAGUGUGACUGUGUGAGAGAAACAACUCUGCAGGCACAGAGGUCAGUGAAGAAGCAGAGGGAGAAGGUGUUCCAGGUGCCAGAACAGAGAUUCCCCUGCAGCCUGUGGUGAAGACCAAGGUGUGAGGCAGGCUGUCCCCCUGCAGCCCAUGGAGGUUAACGCUGGAUCAGAUUUCCACGUGCAGCCUGUGGAGGACCACACUCCAGAGCAGGUUGGAGUCAUUGGAACAUGUUAUGGUAUUAUCUCACUGAAACGUCUUGCAGAAUGAAAGAAUGAAACAGUUACACAGGAUCAGAUCACGACAGACCCUUGUGGACACAUAGGUCCUUGCAUUUGGAAGCAGAUCAUUAAUUAACAGCUUGUUGGGGUAUGAUUAUUUCACCAUUUUUACAUUCUCACUGUACAGAAUUUUAAUGUAACCCAUAUUUCCUGGGCUUGCCAAGAUUACAUUAAGUACACCUGAAGCAUUAAAGCCAUAAUACCUGACACAGGGUAUUUCUUCGUACUUGACAACAUGUAUUAUCCUGCCAGAGGAAGAAAUUAAUUGAUAGACUCACACUGGCAGUUGUUCCCUUGCACAAUGCUAUGUGUCUACAGGUUUUGUUCUGGCGAUUUCACUGGAAUUUAAGUUACACAGACUUGCUGAUAAAUCCCCUGGUUUUCGACCCCCCCCCCCCCCCCCCCCCCCCCCGGCAGGUACUACACCUGCUUUUUAUGAACCCAACCAGUCCUCCAGGAUUCCAUUUCAGCUCAGUGUUGACAAGUCUUCGGAGGGAGAUCACAUGCCACAGCUAGCUUGAGAGCACCCAACUGAUAUUUCCCUAGGUUGUUCUCAGAGUACAGCAACUUCUCUUUGGAUUCAAAUGCUUUAUCUGCUUUUUGUAGCUGGGAGUGACAAUUGAAACAAAAAAUCUCAACAGAUAACUUAUGAACAUUUGUUCUUUGCUUCUUGUGUCAUACUCUGUGUUAUUUCUAUUAUGAAGUCCUGCUUCGGUUUUUUUUUAAGGUUAUAGCUC
Long non-coding RNA from Falco peregrinus (peregrine falcon), 1753 nucleotides. RefSeq lists it as uncharacterized. NCBI's taxonomy places the organism in Eukaryota, Metazoa, Chordata, Aves, Falconiformes, Falconidae. The record is from RefSeq and is a predicted model, not a curated record. The transcript is spliced from 3 exons.